This is a non-coding RNA of Chelonoidis abingdonii (Abingdon island giant tortoise), 89 nucleotides long. Lineage: Eukaryota; Metazoa; Chordata; Testudines; Testudinidae. The record is from RefSeq and is a predicted model, not a curated record.
GGGCUCCAGCCACUGCUGGGAGCCCCGGGCCCUUUAAAUUGCCAUCUGGGGAAGCUGGGCUGCCCUGCUACAGUGCACUGGCUGUUGCC